Molecule: long non-coding RNA, 886 nt
Organism: Hemicordylus capensis (graceful crag lizard)
Lineage: Eukaryota; Metazoa; Chordata; Lepidosauria; Squamata; Cordylidae
Exons: 2
Source: RefSeq, a predicted model, not a curated record
UUCGGCGUCGGCAAGGCAACUCUCUUAGUCUGUCUCUCUCACACAUUCCGAGUCCGAGAGUCCGCUGAGCUGGCCGGCCGGACCUCAUUUUCAGCAGAGAGAGCUCCGCCCGCCCUUCCCCUCAGCUGCUGUUCCACUUCCUGGGGCUUGCUUUAGUUUCUCCCCCACUGUGGGAUUGAGCUGCUGGGUAGCUGCGAAGGAGGGCAAUCUCUGAAGACAUGGCGUAUUCUCCGUGAAUGGCAAGUCCCACCUGAACCAAGCCAACCUCCCUCUGAGAAUUCCAGUUGCUUACCUGCGCUAGAAAAAAAUCCAGGGUGAAAAGAAGCUGGACAGCCUCAACAAUUUAAAACAUGAUAGAUUCUACAGAACAGUCUUUAAUAUGAGAGAAUGAAAAUGCCUACAUUUGUUUAAAAUGUUAAAGUCCUUUCAAUGACAAUAUUUUUAAGAUGUUCACAUUUUAUGUUUUAGUAUUCCAGUACUGUUGGUUCAUUGUUUGGUACUACAGCUUUAUCAGCAGAAUGUGCAGCAGAUGGCCUGCAUUUGCAUUAGCCUUCUGGAAAAGGAAUCUACUUCUACCAACAUAAGCUGUAAGCUUUACUUUGCAAGCUUAUAAAGAAUUGGUCAGAACAACAUAUUUCUUUAAAAAGUUAGUCCAGUUCUCGCAGACCCUCCAUUUUGCAAAGAAGAAGCUAGUCACACACCAGCUGUGUCAUCUGCACAUGCAUUUAGUUCCAAAAGUGUUUGUUAAGAUUAUUUAGGUUUCUUUCAUUACACUCUAAGACUUUAAAAGACCUUCCUUUUUUGUCCUCUGGCAGUAGUUAAUUUCGUUUGUCACUUGUUAUAGAGUGGAGCUAUGUGGAGCUAAAAUAUAUUAUUUGCUCUAGUC